RNAcentral lists this ribosomal RNA (484 nucleotides) under uncultured bacterium. Its description in RNAcentral is "partial 16S ribosomal RNA". It matches the Rfam family "Bacterial small subunit ribosomal RNA", at positions 30 to 507 of the family's 1533-position model. The record is from RNAcentral.
AUUGAACGCUGGCGGCAGGCCUAACACAUGCAAGUCGAGCGGAUGAAGGGAGCUUGCUCCUGGAUUCAGCGGCGGACGGGUGAGUAAUGCCUAGGAAUCUGCCUGGUAGUGGGGGAUAACGUCCGGAAACGGGCGCUAAUACCGCAUACGUCCUGAGGGAGAAAGUGGGGGAUCUUCGGACCUCACGCUAUCAGAUGAGCCUAGGUCGGAUUAGCUAGUUGGUGGGGUAAAGGCCUACCAAGGCGACGAUCCGUAACUGGUCUGAGAGGAUGAUCAGUCACACUGGAACUGAGACACGGUCCAGAAUCCUACGGGAGGCAGCAGUGGGGAAUAUUGGACAAUGGGCGAAAGCCUGAUCCAGCCAUGCCGCGUGUGUGAAGAAGGUCUUAGGAUUGUAAAGCACUUUAAGUUGGGAGGAAGGGCAGUAAGUUAAUACCUUGCUGUUUUGACGUUACCAACAGAAUAAGCACCGGAUAACUUCGUG